Molecule: ribosomal RNA, 123 nt
Filed under: Lagocephalus laevigatus (smooth puffer)
Lineage: Eukaryota; Metazoa; Chordata; Actinopteri; Tetraodontiformes; Tetraodontidae
Description: partial 28S ribosomal RNA
Source: RNAcentral
GUGGGAUCCCGGCCUUCGCGGCCCGGGCGCACCACCGGCCCGUCUCGCCCGCCCCGUCGGGGAGGUGGAGCAGGAGCGCGUGCGAUAGGACCCGANAGAUGGNGAACUAUGCCUGGGCAGGGC